UCAUAAGCUUCCCAAGGAAGCUAUUGAAUUGACUUUACCUCACACCUAUCGUCCAAAGCAACACCAAAAGGUAAGAGUUGAAAAUCAAUUUCCUUUCUUCCCACUUACCUGUCGAUCUACACCCAAGGAAAAUGGAAAACUUCAUCUUCCUCUCCAAGCAAGCCAUAGCCAACCUUCACCUAUUUCCUUCCUCUUCUCUUUCCAUCUUCAAGAAAGCAAGUUCAUCUCACCACCUUCAAGCCUUGUGACUCCAUAGCAAGGGAAGAAGAAAAAUAUUUUCUCUCAUCCUCUUCAAGCCAUACGAGUAUACUCCCUCCCUACUCAUUUUCGGAUUUUGCCUCAAACCUUGGAACUAAAAUUUUGAUUUCGUCUUCUAAAUGGUGAAAUAUUGAAGUGAUGUUGUGUUGCUCUUCUUCCACACGGGUUUACCACUAUUUGGUCCUCCAUCUUGCCUCUUGAAAGGGGCUAACAGCUUAAGGUAAUGAUGAAAAGGCUGGGGAGCAAGGCAUUACUGCAGAGGGAGAGGCAGACGCUUAGGACCUUCCCUAACUAGGACAGUUGUGUUACGAAUGAUGGGUUAUGUUAUGUAAAGAUAUUUUAAUUUGGGAUGGACUCUGAGAGUCUCUUACGGAUGAAUGUUCGAAUAGACUGUCCAUUAGGUGUUCCCUUUUAUUAAAUGAAAAAUUUAGAGUGCACGUGUGUCAUGUCCAUGUCGAUCGCAUGUUAUUAGAAAAAGAAAGAAAAGAACAGCCAUGUAAGUCAGGAUUUCAUCCUUCCUGGGACGGGGUCGUGACAAGUAGAUUUACAUUUCUACUUUGUUGUUUAAUCGCAUGAUUUUGUCUUCAUAAAAAAA
This is a long non-coding RNA of Juglans regia (Persian walnut), 853 nucleotides long. RefSeq lists it as uncharacterized. The transcript has 3 exons. Lineage: Eukaryota; Viridiplantae; Streptophyta; Magnoliopsida; Fagales; Juglandaceae. The record is from RefSeq and is a predicted model, not a curated record.